ACCUGAGCCAGUGGCUCCUACCACCAGUGGACAACAAAUCUGUCAUCUCUGACCUGAGAGGGGGUUUGUCAGCUGUCCCUCUAAAAGGGCUGGAAUGGAACCAUUGUGGAAGUCGACAGCUUGCUGAAGAGUAUCUGAGGGCCAUGUGGGAGCUACAAAGCCUCACCAUAACCUUGUUUGCGCAUUUCUCACUACUUAAGCUGUGGAAUGUCCGACUUGAUCCUAGGGCUCACUUGUUACCCUUGGUAAAAUUUUGGCUGGUACAUCUGCUAGAUCAGAUGCUGAAUUGAGACCUGCCAGGAAUCAGGUUAAGCUAAAAGCUUUCCUUGUAUCUCAGUGGUGUUGGGAUUCUGAUCCUGCCUAAAUACUAAAUAUGACUAAUACGAAGAUAGGUACAAAAAUUACUUUGCAGCCUGAACUUUAAGUCAGGCAGGAUAUUUUUAUUUGUUCCAUAUCAAGAUAAAUUCAUGCCAGUGAACUUCCAAGCAAUUUUUAGCACAGCUGAAGCUUUGCCUAAGCUCACUCAGAAGUCACCUGCAACAGCAUACCAUGCACCACAAGGUGUGGAAGACAACUUGCAGCCAAGAGAAGAGCCACAGAACAUUUUCUGCAACAAAAUGGCAUCAUAAUAAUGUUUGAACAAGGAUACUUUAUUUUAGAAACUCUAAUGUUAGUCCAGGCCAGGGGAACCAAAGAUGUAGCACGAUAAAUAAAAUAAUAAAAUAACCAGAGAAUGUUCUCUGUCCCUAUCUCAGUCUGUACAGCAUUUUUACGUGCAAACAAAUUAUUACUAACAACACUUCUGAAGUCCUUUAACUGUCUUGGUAAUACCACUUGAGGAAUUAGAUACUAUUGUGACUUUUUUUAGCCUGGAACUGUGAAAUACGAAGAAUAAAGCAGAGCAAGGAUUAUCACAGGAAGCAGAUAGAAAGGAAGGAAUUCUCAGAGAUGAUCUGUCCUGCAUAGUGCCAAGCAGACACUGCAGCACAGACACUUUUCCCAAUAAAGCCUGUGCAGAGAUGCUAUGCCUUGUCAGCACUCUCUCCAGGUACUCUGCAGUUGUAACAAAUACAAAAUUUCCUGUUUAAAACCAAUACUCAUUUAAAGCCACUAUUCUUUUUAACAGUUACUUGUCGACACAGAAGGUAAAUUUGUUUCUGUUUUGUGUUUUUUUUUUUUAAAAAAAGAACCAUUUUUAUGUUUGAUGGGCUGUGGUGUGCUCCCCUUCAUCUAAUCUUUACUGAUGUAAGAAGUGUGCCUUUACUGACAGCUGUGUUUUCCAGAUCUCUCCUCCUUGCAGUGCUCUCCUUUGGUCAGUUUUCUGUGAGCAGCAGUAUAUGUAACGCUCACUGGAGACUCGCUGGGGCCAGUGGCCGCCACAAACAUGACAGGUUCUCAGCUCACCUUCAUCACAGUCUUCUUUUUAUGGCAAGUUCUAAUGUACAUGUUCGAGAGAGUGGAGUGUCUCAAUUCCCGCAGUGCCAGCAGUGGUCUACUGCAAAACAAAGGCUGCACAUGAAAAUAGCAGAGAGAAGGUGAAAUAAAAAUUGUCCUCAUUUAUAUAUCCACAACGGAGACGCAUUUACAAAAAUUAUGGUAUAAAGUUAGAUGUACCUGCAUUCCAGAUCCAAGAAUGGGCCCAACUGUUAAAAUGGAUAGUAUGACAAUGUCAUCUGAUUUUAGCAAAAAGUAGAGAAUGCUUAUUUGUUUUGAAGAGAGCUUUGAAAAAAACCUGCGUGGUUCUUUCCCUCACAGAUCACAGGAGAUAGCUAAGGUACAAACGAAUUCAGAAAGCAUUUCAUAUCCAAUAGGUCAUCAAAUAGGUACUCUUUGUACCCUAUAAUAUUUCAGUAAUGCUGCUUUAUAGCACAAUAAUUGGAUUCCCUAAUGUUUCUUACAUUAAGCAACGUUAACAGAAAAUGUUAACUUAUUUGCUUGUUAAAAAGCCUCUUCCACUGGAAAGCCUGUAUAUUUUCAUAGAAAUAAAAGCUGGUGAGAACAAGGAAUUUCUGAAGUCAGGGGAGUUGAUUUUAAAUUUGAUAGAAAUCUGAAAGUUCCUCCAGAGCGAGAAAGAAAAACGUUGUUUUCCUGGUUUCAAAGCUAAAAAUAAAAGGUACGUGUCCGAACGAGCUGCUUGGAUAUUUUAGCCAUGCCUGUGGAGUUAACCCACCGUGCCUGCCCCGACAGAUCUAGGAGAUUGUCUCCGAGAGCCUGCAGCCCUGGGACGGGGCGUCAUGCCCUGAGCUGGGGUGCCCCGUGCCCUGCCGCCCGUGGGCACGGCCCGCAGCCAGCCAGAGGCUGACGUCGGGCUCGGAGGCCAAGCGUUAGCGGCAGCAGCUUGCGCAGACACCGGCUGCUUCACGCAGAGCGAAAGCCAUGGAUGAUGACCGAAGAAAUUUUAGCUUACAAAGACACGGGGUCUGUCAAGCGUCACUGUUGUGGACUUCUCUCUACCUCGCUCGGCAGAACACUCCCACUGGCUGCAGCCUUUGUCCUGGAGUUUUUGGCGAUGACCAGCUUUGUGGGCGUUUGUUUCCAGCACUGGCUCACCAGGUGGAAACGCAGCGCGGGCUUCAGUGACGGCCUGACCCCGGUGCCAGCAGCUCUCCGCCGGGGUUGCCGUGGAGACAAAGCUUCCUGUGCGUAAUCCAAGCUUAUCCAGCUCCUUAUCCUACAUGUGACCCUUAAUUACUUGCUAAAUUAGAAUGGUUUUCUGAAAAUCACAAGGGGAGGUUAAUAUGUUCUUCCAGAGCUGGUCAAGCUAAGAUGACACCAAAUUCACAGGGAAUUCAAAUUACAUGAUCCCUGAAGGCGUCUCUUUGAGAAGGACGAUGAACUUUCCCAAUGGGAGGCAGUGUGCCAUGAUAAUGCUUCUGUCGCUCACUUUCCUUGCCCUGCUUGUCUAGCUACAGCUUAAUCCGGUAGGAACAAUGUAGUAAGUAAAUAUCAGGUUGAUUAAUUAUGGUGCAAGAUUCAGUAACCGCUUGUCUUCUAUAAUUAACAUUGUAAUUGAAAUUAAGUAAUACGCUUCAUACAUGGAUUCCUGGACUUGGAGGAGGAACAAGGGAGAAUCCUCAAGGCUGCAACAGGGAAAUUAAGGAAUUAAUAACAGGGGGUCAAAAUACUAAUUGUCUCUUCAAAGCUACGGUACACUUUAAGAUACUCUUCAUGCAAAAAGAAAAAUGAUUUUACUACUUCUAGAUGUCCUAGUAGAGACAAAACAGAGUUAUCAGUAAAAAUAUUGCUAAAGAUUUGAUAAAUGGAAAUUAUAAGAAGAGGUGCACAGUGGUUUUCCUUUCCUUGGUUUCCUGUGACAUGCUACUUAACAAGGAGUGAGCCUUUCACUUGCAUGAGAAGCUUUAUAAAGCUGUGCUAAAAAUGCUGUGGCAUGGUUUCAAAAAAAAGCACAGUCUGUAUCAGCAUAUGCCUGUCUAUUGUGAAAGGUACGGUAGUUCGGGUCUGUGUACAUAUGCUUGCUCGCAAGGAUACACAUAAAAAUCAGUGACUAAUCAUUAAGAUGGGAAGAGCCUAGGCAGGUAAGUGCUGCCUAUAGUCUGCAGUAUUGCAGACUUCUCUUUGUUUAAGACGUACUUGUAUCUUACACUUCAGUUACGGAUACGAUCACUUCCAUUCCUGCUCAGAAUUCCUAAGUACAAGACAACAUACCUCAGAAGUUUGUCACUAUCAUGAUAAGCAAUGGUUCCCCCAGCACUUUUUAGAAAGGCUUCACUGUGGCCUAAUUUUUUUUCCAUUUUCUUUCCCCUGUCUCCUAGGAAUGUGGUCUCUUUGGCAUAUCCAAGGGCUCACAGCAUUGCAGGCUGAAGGACAAGUUCAUGGGCGCUGUAUAGUCACAGGGUCUUAGACUUCCCUGCUGAGACCUCUGAAAAAUGUGAUGGCAUUUUUCUGAGAAUAAUGACAGAGAAACCUAUGCCAUCUAUUGCUUGGCAGGAUCCAAGACAGUUUUUUGGUUCAUUACGUAUAUAAGGAAUUUAUGAUCCUGUCGAUGGAUCUUUGUACAAAGAAGUGUCUUACGAAGAUGCAUUUCUAGAUGUGUGAGAGAUUACUGAGCACUAUAUAUUCACACUUUCUUUGGCAUCUCUGCUCAUACUUCCAGCAAUAUGAUCAUGUUUUUCUGAGUGAGCAUCAACCCACUGGUAACUGGACUGAUGAUGGCAAGUAUUUUCUCAAAUGAAAAGGCUGUCAGUCCCUGCUAAUUCAAGAAGGUUUCAGUCCAAUGAACCAUUUUCUGCUCUCUCUUUGCUGAACCAUCACUUCCCUGUUACUGUAUUUGAAUUAAAAUGUCAUUUUCAGGACAGAAAUGAAGAAAUUUCUUACAAUUAAGAAACAUUUUCUGUUUCCUUAAUAGGAAAAAAACAAAAAACAGUGAGCUCAAUAGUGAGCUCAUGUAGUUAAAACAGCUCGAAGGGAUAGUUCUCUUUCUCAACUGCUAAUUUGUGUAAUUUGGAAGUCUCUGGGUGUUUUCCUGUGUGUCAGGGUGGACUGCAGGGAAGCUUUCUGUGCCUGGAAAGAUGACCUUUAAAGGAGUGGGUUUCCAUUUUCAGAUGAGGUGUGAUGAGGAGUCCUCCAUGCACAAUUAUUAAGACAGCCUAGUACCCACGAUAAAAUCUUUGAAUGCCAUCCAAAUUACUGAAAGCCACCUAGUUAUUUAUGUGAGCGCACACACAAAUAUGCACGCACCCUUUCCACCUCCAGUAGAGUAUUAGACUUCACACAUUACAUCUGCACUGAAAGACUCCUUAAUAACAGGAUCUGGUGAGCCCUACGACAUUUGAGGGUGGAAGGAAGCUUUCCAAGCACUUCUUCCAAAAGUUUCGAUUUUCACAGAAUUAGAAAGCAUUUUAAGAUGCUUUCUUAAGCACUUGGAAUAUGGAUAUAUAUAUAUGGAUAUAUGGAAUUUGGAAUUGGAUAUAUAUUUUUUACAUACACACUUUAAAAAAGAAAGCAUUUUAAGAUGAUUUCUUAAGAAAUCCACCCUUCUUUUAGUUUCUGCAUUCAAAGUAUAGGGAGUUACCAGGAUGGAAAAAAGGAUUACUGAUAUUCAGUAACCUGCCCCUCCUCUCCUGUCCCCCUUAAAACACCAGGAAUAAGGAAGGGAACUUCCUGGUUCUACUGCCCGCUUUGGAGAAGGAUUUGUUCAGAAACAUGGGCCAGAUCUUCACAUUCAUUACAGGAAUCUCAUGGCUACCAUAAGAAAACAGACACACACACAAACCAGCAAAUUAGAAGGGUUGAAGAGACAGAGAGAAACGGAGACCACAGGGUCUGGUGGCCAGAGGUGGGUGUGGUGCCCAGAGAUAGGUCUGACACAGAUUCCCCUGGGGACAAAGGAAUUACCUUUCUCUGUCAGUCUAGUGGAAACACACAGAGGGACCUGCAAAAUGUCGUGUCCUCUACUAUCCCUUUGUGUAGGUUAAAGGAGUGGAAGAAUAGAAAGGGCAAAUAUGCUGUCAUCUAAAAUAAUCUUUUUAAGUGCGAGGCUACUAGGCUGCGACAAGCUGUGAUUGGUUCCUCUCAGAGCAAAACCAACAGGGGAAUGAAGGUAUCUGAAUAAGAGAUCACUUCUAAAAAUGCUGAUUCUGUUGUACCAUUAGAUUGACAUCUCUACUAUGAAUGAAGAUAAUCAAUAUGAAAAAAAACAAAACAACAACAAAAAAAACAGACAUCCUAAACACUUGAGAUUGUGUCCAGCUGCUCUUGAGCUAUUUCAUCUCCACCCCUGGUUUAUUCCAUUGGUUUAUAUCCUUUUGACCUCUGUCUUGAAACUUGAAAAGAAAACAGUUGUACAAUAAUGCCUUAUAGUCUGUGGCAUAUUCCAUUUCAGGUAAAAGAUACGUAAGUACAGUUCAGCCUGGGUUCAGUUCAGCCUGGAAAAGCUUUUCAAUUCCCCGUGACAAAACAGCAAAAUAGUUCAGAAAAGAAGAAUAACAAAGCAAACAGAGUGCUUGAGGGAUCUAACGAGGGAGGCAGCAAGAUCCUUUACUUACCCCAGUCUGGCAAUUAACUCACGUACAAACAGUUUUACGGGUUUCAUGGUGACCAACAGACUGUAGCAGUGUGGUCUCCUGGAGUGCAGGGUAUGGCAGGUAAGCUCUGGGGAAUUUGGCUGUGGUGCUUCAACCCACAGGCUUGUCACAGCGUUUCUCCAGCUCUUCCGGGAUCACCACUGCCUCAGCGGGGAAUGGCAAGGGCUGUGUGCUGGCACAUCAGCUGUUCCUGUUCUUAGCCCAGCAUAUAAUUUCAAAUGUGGCUUUAUCAGCAGUUUCCACAAAGAAAUUUAUCUGAGGCUUGAGUACACCCUGCUUCUGGUCACCUCCUCUAGCACCCUUUUAACAUCUUCACCAGAGCGAUCUUGCUCAGCAGGCUGGGGCAUUUACUUUGUUUCAAGGGUGAUGAUGGAAUAUUUCUGUUUUCUGAAACACGCAGCUAGGAUUCACUGUUGUUUUCAGUUCAAGUCAACAGCAAAAAUUCCACUGAUUUUAGUGGAAGCAUCAUCUGAUCCAUGGUAAUUUGUUAUGUUGCUGCUGAGUAUUGGUGUUGGAAAGAUUCUGGGAGCUUUCCAUCCAAAAGCAAGUAGGUUAAUCCUGCAAUUAAUUUUAAGAACUACAUUUUGCCAGCUUUUAGUCAGAACUCUUUUCCUCUGAUCUUUAAGGAAUCAGCUAGCGAUCUAACAUGCAUAAGGAAGGAUGUGCAAGCCACAAACUGCAAGAGCACUAUCCUGGUUUAUCUAGGAAUAGAAUGUAAAUUGUUAUUAUUUACAUGGUAGAGAGGAAAAAUCAUCUCCCCUGAGCUGCUAGUGACACUCUUCCUAAUGCAGCCCACGCUGCUGUUGGACUUUUUUGCUGUGAGGGUGCUAUUGCUGUUCUAUGUCAAACUUGUCCACCAGGACCCCAAAGUCCUCCUCUGCAGGGCUGCUUUCCACCAGGUCGCUCCACAGCCUCUCCUGGUACAUGGGGCUGUUCCACCCCAGGUGAAGGACUUUGCAUUUCAAUUUGUUGAACUUUAUGAGAUACCAGCAGGCCCAUUUCAGCAGCCUGCUCAGGUCCCGUGGGAAACAGACCCACUGUCACAACUCAGGCCUAGGAAAGAGAUAGGCUUGGUUUCUUCCUUCUUCUAGGUGGAAUAGCACUAAGAAUGUUAAAGCAAGUGCGUGGGGGGGGUAAGUAGUGAAACGGUGGUUGUUCACGAUACUCCAUAUUCUGAACACAGCCUUAGCUGUGCAAAGCUGUGUUGCCUCUUUGACUGUGUAAUGCCUAGGGGUUUGUUUCUGUUCUUGGACUGGAUAGACGAAAACUUCAAAUCAGGAGAAAAGCCUGAAAAGGCCACGAGAAUAAUGUUUAUAGAAAAAUGCAGUCUGUGAUCUUCCUUUUCCACAAAACUGCAAAUCUUUGGAGGAAUCAUGUUCUGCCUUUGCACAGCCACGCAUAAAAAGCUUGUUGAGAUCCCUGGUCUAUCAUUUCCAGUCAUUACCGUAGGCACUGACAGAGAAUAAGUGAAAUGUGCAUGCUUUCUUUACAAAGUCUUCAAAUAUGUUCACCUCCAAAUUAAAAUUCCCUUUUGGAAAGGUGGUAUGUGACUAAAACAUUGCUGUUGGAGUGUCCUUGGCUGCUCUGAAGUGAGCUGAGUGCUCAUCUAAUGGGUAAAACAAAUUCUUUUUCUGCUUCAACAAAUGCAGAUGAUGUUGAGAAGUAUACUCCUGACCACAGCUUGAGACUGAAACAAGCAGGAAACUCUGCGGAGGAAGAAAUAGGUGAUGCUGCUGAAGGAUGGCGAGACAAAGAGGGGGAUCAGCUAUCAAGCCAUUCGAUGUGAGAUUCGACAUUUAAAUGAAGGCAUGCGAUAGAGAUGUCUACUGCAGACCUAGCUUGCGCUAUUACUGAUAGGAAGAAAACAGGACUCCUAAGGUACACGUUGAUGUCUUUUAGGCAUCCACUUAAAAUGAGAUUACCCUUGCUCCGAAGUGCUCGCUUCUCUAUGCUGGUUAUACAAGGAGCCCAGAACGGCCAUAACAGAUGUAAAUGCCUAUCCUGUAGAUGCAGAUGUCUAAAAAGUGAGGUUAAUCUGCUAUGUAACCACAGACAAGCCAAUAACUAGCUACUUUAGGCUACCUUAUGACCACAUUCCAAAAUUUUUCCUACUUUAAUGACAGGCCGUACUCCUGUGCUGGGCGGGUGCCGCAGCCCUGGCCCAGGCUGCCCAGAGAGGGGCUGGGGGCUGCUCGGGGAGGUCUCCAGCAGCCGCCUGCACGUGGGACUGGGCACCCUGCUCGGGGGGCCCUGCUGGGCUGGGGGGGGGCCCAGGGGCACCUGGGACUCCCUGCCCUCCCUGACCAGUCUGUGAGUCUGAUAAAUAUGAUGGCAUCACAUCCUCAACUAAGCUACACUGGCCAACCUUCCCAUGUGUGUGUGCAAUUUUAAUGUGCAAAAAAACCCCUCAUGCAACAUUUACUGAUAAUUUAUGCUGCUGAAGAAGACGACUUACAUGCAAUAAUGAGGGAGUCCUUUGUGCUGGUGUAAAUUGUGCACAGUACUGUGCAUUCUAUGGAAAAACUUGGAGGGCAACACCUUUGCAGACUUGGUACAAUGAUAAAUACGUUCAUGUAAACAGAACAUUAUACAAAGUGCAACGUAUGCUUGCAGAACUAGAUAUCUUUAACAGAGAUUUUCUGAGAUAGAAGUUAUGAGUGAGGCUGCAGUAAUCUUGACAGUAGUCAUCACAACUAAAGUGGACUUGAAGGAAGAUUUUUCUUGCAGUUUGCUCUGCUGGGGCCUUCCCAGAAUAGCAAUGUUGCUACCCACAUGUUCAGAUGAAACGGUCAAACUUCCAUGGCAUUAAUCAAAUCUUUCUGGCAUGGCAGGGCUGAGAGUUUCACAGUAUAAAUGCAAAGUACACAAAGGGAAGGUAUGAUGAUAAAUGGUUAUUCACUACUCCUUUAAAUAAAAUAUUUUGAAGUUUGAUAUCCCUAGAGUUUGUCACUUAGCCAAUGAAUAUGUAAAAUAAGUAUUUAUAUAUGUAAUCUCUAAGCUCAUUUGUGUCUACACAUGUUCAUACAGUUUGAUUACUUCAUUUUCUUCUUCAACCGAGGGAAAUGAGUGGCUGAAGUGAGAGUUAUUGCAAUGUAGAGGAGUUUUCAGUACAGAGCGACUGUACAAGCUAAGUGGAGUUUUGACAGUAUGGCAAUCAAGAAUUAAACAUAUGGUGACCUGGGAAAUCCUGUUCCCUGACUACGGACUGCUGUGAAAUAGUCUGGAGUUUCACAUGCUGUGUGACAAUUAUGAAACAACUCUGAAUUAUUGUAUAAAACAAAGGGACACAAUCGGUCAAAUGACAGAUGAAUUGACAGCAAGAAUGAUGUAUGCAAGAGUAACUGCAUAACAUUCCAUUUUACCUACUAAUACGCUGAAACAAUUUUAUAUAAUGUCAUGAAGUUUUGCAGUACAGUGUCUGUUCUGCAAAUCACGUAUUGUUCUGUGCUUGUGCCUCUAAGUGGUAGAAUUUCAGACAUGCUUAUGUACGUGGGUAGGUAAGAAAUUUGUUUCAAGGCUAGUGCUUUUGGUUUUUAUUCUUUCAGCAUGGUUCAAUUAUUUUUUGGCAUGAUAAAUUCCAAGAUUACUGCCAAAUGUAUGAUGUAGACAGGACAGGGCUUCAUGCUGUUCUAUUCAGGUCUCUGACGCAUAUGCCAUUUUAUCCUCCCAAAGUAAUUGCAGCAUAUCGUAUUGCCAGUGUGUUCUACAUUUCUAUUAGGAAAGUCACUUUCUAGAUCUUUACAGAAGAGAGAAACAGAUAAGUUUCCAGUCUAGUUAGCUGCCAGGAAGAAACUCCCGAUUCCCUGAAUAUCCCCCACAGCUGUACUUCAAAACCCCCCACCAAAAUAUAUUCUUAUUUAGAGAUAUUUUAGAAUAUAGUUGGAUACUACACAAAAACAAAAAUCGAGUGCUUCUUCCUCUGUAUUGACAAUUAACUUAUCAAGAACACAAAAUAUGCUUCUUUAAGUUCUUCUAAAAUUCAUCUCAGAGAUAUUUUGCUGGCAUACAACCUGAUCAGUGUAUUUGCUUUGUGUAACUGAGGAAGCUCACAUACCUUUCCCAGUUAACGUGUCAGGUUUUACUUUAUCUAUGCUGAAGUACAUAUGCUAUCAAAAACCAAAAACAACAAACAAACA
Cygnus olor (mute swan) is the source of this 10180-nucleotide long non-coding RNA. RefSeq lists it as uncharacterized. The record is from RefSeq and is a predicted model, not a curated record. NCBI's taxonomy places the organism in Eukaryota, Metazoa, Chordata, Aves, Anseriformes, Anatidae. The transcript is spliced from 2 exons.